This is a long non-coding RNA of Chiloscyllium plagiosum (whitespotted bambooshark), 514 nucleotides long. RefSeq lists it as uncharacterized. Lineage: Eukaryota; Metazoa; Chordata; Chondrichthyes; Orectolobiformes; Hemiscylliidae. The record is from RefSeq and is a predicted model, not a curated record.
UAGGACUCGAUACUCUGACAUUGGCUGCAGUAAUCCAAGAAACUGUUGAGAAUUGCUCAGGUAGCCUUGAUCAUUGAUGGGAUCAGGAUAUGUGGAUGAGUCACUGGAUGAAAACGGGUCAAGUUGGAGAAGACAAGUCAAUGUCCAUUUCUGGAUGCAUGAAUUUGCACUCCCCGUGUCUCCAGCAAAUGAUGAUUCUUGCAGAAAUCAGAGUGGAACAACCUUUCAAAAUCUGAACACCUAGCAUGGAAAUUUUCUUGACAGGCUCAUGACUCAGACAAUUUCAGAGACAAGGUUCUUUCAGCUGGAGGAGUUGAUGGGAUUGCCCCUGGUGAUGAUGGCAUUAAAGUUCUAUUGAUGUACUGGAGCAACAAUUUGCAAAAAUAUUUGAGGUUCCUACUCUUAAAAAACCCAGCAAAUCAGGUAUUGAAAAUUGCAUGAAGGAUGAAGGGCUUAUACCCGAAAAAUCGACUCUCCUGCUCCUCGGAUGCUGCGUGACCGUCUGUGCUUUUAC